RNAcentral lists this ribosomal RNA (460 nucleotides) under uncultured bacterium. RNAcentral's name for it is "partial 16S ribosomal RNA". It matches the Rfam family "Bacterial small subunit ribosomal RNA", at positions 338 to 795 of the family's 1533-position model. The record is from RNAcentral.
CCUACGGGGGGCAGCAGUGAGGAAUAUUGGUCAAUGGCCGCAGGGCUGAACCAGCCAAGUCGCGUGAGGGAUGACGGUCCUAUGGAUUGUAAACCUCUUUUGUCAGGGAGCAAAGGCCGCCACGUGUGGCGUUUUGCGAGUACCUGAAGAAAAAGCAUCGGCUAACUCCGUGCCAGCAGCCGGGGUAAUACGGAGGAUGCGAGCGGUAUCCGGAAUCAUUGGGCGUAAAGAGUUCGUAGGUGGCACGUUAAGGCUGGUGUUAAAGGCGGAAGCUCAACUUCCGUAGGGCACUGGAUACUGGCGAGCUUGAAUGCGGUAGAGGUAAAGGGAAUGCCUGGUGUAGCGGUGAAAUGCGUAGAUAUCAGGAGGAACAUCGGUGGCGAAGGCGCUUUACUGGGCCGUAAUUGACGCUGAGGAACGAAAGCCGGGGUAGCAAAUGGGAUUAGAUACCCGUGUAGUC